Long non-coding RNA from Helianthus annuus (common sunflower), 1145 nucleotides. RefSeq lists it as uncharacterized. The transcript has 2 exons. The record is from RefSeq and is a predicted model, not a curated record. NCBI's taxonomy places the organism in Eukaryota, Viridiplantae, Streptophyta, Magnoliopsida, Asterales, Asteraceae.
ACCCAUACUAAAAUCACCCUUUUUGACCCGACCCUAUUAUUUCUUCCCUGUCAUUUUGCUACUUAUUAUCAUUCUAGAACCUUCUAAUCUUGUGAACUAAUUCAAUUCGAUUACAUUUUGCCUGUAGAGAAUGGCGAGGUUAUAACUUUACUUGAUGUAGCAAAAUCUUUAUAUGACUCAACUGCGCGUAUGGAAAGGGCAGCUGAAAGGGGAAAGGCAAUAGCAGCCGUUGUUGAAGGUAUUGAAACCCACUUGGAAACUUCUUUUUCUGGUCAGGUACAUACUGGGUUCCACUUUCACACACUUUUCGACCUCCAUCGCCACUAAACUCGUUAUCCAAAAUAAAACAUCAGCAAACACCUUAUCUAAUGCACCUGGGUUCUCAAUUAGUGCACUCACCCUCCAGUCAAUACUAUCAUGUCUAGCCAUAGCUCUUCACGCUCUAGCCGAAAGGCUUGUUUUAGGCGUGGUGUAACAACACACCAAAACACCUCAACCGAACCUUGAGCGGAACAACGGACAUACACAACAAGACCCUGGAAACUGAAGGUCGGAAGCUAGAAGCUUAUGUUACUGUACACAUUGGGUCUCAAAGCUGCAAGUCAAAAUGAUGUGAUUUUGCCCAAAAGUGAAUAAAGUUGCAUAGAGACACAUAAUCCUGACAAUACCUAAUGAGGAAAGGUCAUCCGCACAAGCAACAUCAUCAGAGAUAAGCCUUACAAUAUAUGAAAGUUAUGAGUUGGCGAGAAGCUUCCCUGGGCAGACCUUUCUACGUAUAAAAGGGAGACUUUUUCCAGCAACAAUGAUCUCGACAAGGAAGCUAUCAUUUGGAGUGGAUCCUGGACCUUUCCCCUGCCAUACUCUUGUUGUUUUAACAGGUAGGGUGACUGAUUGUCCAUGACCCGCUUACUCAAAGAGGGCCAAAAUUAAAAAUAAAACUAUAUGUUCUUUAAAUAUAUAGGGACCUAUUUUUUAUUCGUUUCCUACCCAAGAUUUUUGAGAAUUUUUAGGGGCAACCCUAACAUGUAUGGUAAAAUUACCACAGCUUGUUUUACAAACAAUGUAAAUAUAUGCUCAUUGUGUAGAUUUUACAAAUAUAUCUAUUCCAUCAAAUUCUUUGAGUGGAUUUUUUUAUAAUAUAAAAA